UACGUAGGGGGCUAGCGUUAUCCGGAAUUACUGGGCGUAAAGGGUGCGUAGGUGGUUUCUUAAGUCAGAGGUGAAAGGCUACGGCUCAACCGUAGUAAGCCUUUGAAACUGGGGAACUUGAGUGCAGGAGAGGAGAGUGGAAUUCCUAGUGUAGCGGUGAAAUGCGUAGAUAUUAGGAGGAAUACCAGUUGCGAAGGCGGCUCUCUGGACUGUAACUAACACUGAGGCACGAAAGCGUGGGGAGCAAACAGG
RNAcentral lists this ribosomal RNA (252 nucleotides) under uncultured bacterium. RNAcentral's name for it is "partial 16S ribosomal RNA". It matches the Rfam family "Bacterial small subunit ribosomal RNA", at positions 524 to 776 of the family's 1533-position model. The record is from RNAcentral.